This 515-nucleotide ribosomal RNA is filed under the name Providencia rettgeri. RNAcentral describes it as "partial 23S ribosomal RNA". It matches the Rfam family "Bacterial large subunit ribosomal RNA", at positions 2415 to 2925 of the family's 2925-position model. Lineage: Bacteria; Pseudomonadati; Pseudomonadota; Gammaproteobacteria; Enterobacterales; Morganellaceae. The record is from RNAcentral.
GUGAUCCGGUGGUUCUGAAUGGAAGGGCCAUCGCUCAACGGAUAAAAGGUACUCCGGGGAUAACAGGCUGAUACUGAUACCGCCCAAGAGUUCAUAUCGACGGCGGGGUUUGGCACCUCGAUGUCGGCUCUCCUGGGGCUGAAGUAGGUCCCAAGGGUACGGCUGUUCGCCGUUUAAAGUGGUACGCGAGCUGGGUUAGAACGUCGUGAGACAGUUCGGUCCCUAUCUGCCGUGGGCGUUGGAAGAUUGAAAGGGGCUGCUCCUAGUACGAGAGGACCGGAGUGGACGCACCACUGGUGUUCGGGUUGUCAUGCCAAUGGCAUUGCCCGGUAGCUAAGUGCGGAAGAGAUAACCGCUGAAAGCAUCUAAGCGGGAAACUUGCCUUGAGAUGAGUCUUCCCUGACUCUUUAAGAGUCCUAAAGGAACGUUUAAGACUAAGACGUUGAUAGGUUGGGUGUGUAAGCGUAGCGAUACGUUGAGCUAACCAAUACUAAUGAACCGUGAGGCUUAACCUG